This 168-nucleotide non-coding RNA is filed under the name Anaerocolumna aminovalerica. RNAcentral describes it as "Lysine riboswitch". It matches the Rfam family "Lysine riboswitch aptamer". From Rfam's summary of the family: Riboswitches are metabolite binding domains within certain messenger RNAs that serve as precision sensors for their corresponding targets. Allosteric rearrangement of mRNA structure is mediated by ligand binding, and this results in modulation of gene expression. The record is from RNAcentral. Lineage: Bacteria; Bacillati; Bacillota; Clostridia; Lachnospirales; Lachnospiraceae.
UUUUGGUAGAGGCGCAUCUUUUAAGACUAUAUUACAGGAUAUGGCAGACAUAGAGGAAUGUAAUAGAAAGGAAAAGAUGCCGAAAUUAAGGUAAUUCUGCAUUAUCUUAGUUGGGCUUAUGGUUAAUAACUAUAUGACUGUCAUCAUAUCUGAUGGAGUGCUACCUAA